UACAGAGGGUGCGAGCGUUAAUCGGAAUUACUGGGCGUAAAGCGCGCGUAGGCGGCUUUGCAAGUCGGGUGUGAAAUCCCCAGGCUUAACCUGGGAACUGCAUUCGAGACUGCAUUGCUAGAGUAUGGGAGAGGGAAGUGGAAUUUCCGGUGUAGCGGUGAAAUGCGUAGAUAUCGGAAGGAACACCAGUGGCGAAGGCGGCUUCCUGGACUAAUACUGACGCUGAGGUGCGAAAGCGUGGGGAGCAAACAGG
Molecule: ribosomal RNA, 253 nt
Filed under: uncultured bacterium
Lineage: Bacteria
Description: partial 16S ribosomal RNA
Rfam family: Bacterial small subunit ribosomal RNA
Source: RNAcentral